Molecule: ribosomal RNA, 322 nt
Filed under: uncultured eukaryote
Lineage: Eukaryota
Description: partial 18S ribosomal RNA
Rfam family: Eukaryotic small subunit ribosomal RNA
Source: RNAcentral
CCCUUAGAUGCUCUGGGCCGCACGCGCGCUACACUGAUGCAUUCAACGAGUUUUUCCUGGUCCGAGAGGAAUGGGUAACCUUUUGAAAGUGCAUCGUGCUAGGGAUAGACUAUUGCAAUUAUUGGUCUUCAACGAGGAAUUCCUAGUAGACGUAGUUCAUCAGACUGCAUCGAUUACGUCCCUGCCCUUUGUACACACCGCCCGUCGCUCCUACCGAUUGGAUGAUCCGGUGAGCUAUUCGGACCUUCGCUUCGUCGAUUUUCGGCUUUGUGAGAGAAGGUCUCGCGAACCUUAUCAUCUAGAGGAAGGAGAAGUCGUAACA